This 3779-nucleotide long non-coding RNA is filed under the name Homo sapiens (human). RNAcentral's name for it is "non-protein coding lnc-SLC26A8-1:6". The record is from RNAcentral. Lineage: Eukaryota; Metazoa; Chordata; Mammalia; Primates; Hominidae.
GACUCUGCGGGCUCUCCCGCUGAACAGGAGCGAGAGCGCGAAAGAGGGGGAAACGGGAAAAAAAUCCCCCCGCCCGUGCCUGGCGCGGCGGCGGCCGGGGCGGUGCGGAGAGGAGCGCGGAGGCGCCGCCGCCGCCGCCACGGGGCACCAUCCCCGGCUCGGCCUCACGGUGGCGGUGCGGGCGCGGCGGGGACACCGAGCAAGAGACCGGGUCUGCGCCCGCCGCGAUCCCUGCGCACCACGGCCCUGCCCGCCACGGGGCGAGCCCGAUAAGAGGGCUGUGGACGUUCGGGUCUAGUUGGGAGAGACAGGGGUCCCUGACUCUUGAGCGGUCAGUCAUUUCCUCCCCAGUCCUUGUGGGUGACGUGGCUACGGUUUGGAGCAGCAAGCCCCCUCCCCGAACUAAAGGGCCUCUCCAAAGGUUAAGCCAGGGCAGUCAUUGAGGUCAAAACCAAUAUGUAGUUUCUUGACUGCAGGUGCCUGCACGACUCCCAGAAAGUCGCGUCUCCCCUAACCCCCAUGCCCAGGACCUGAGGACAAAGGUCUAGCGAUUGUCCAUCCCCUCCCCCAGUGAGGACAGCCGGGAAAGACCUGCCUUUGUUGUGUACAGAACUCCAUGGCAAUGUUUUGAGGAUUAAAGAGGAGAGUGAUGACUAUCCAAACGUCAGAGAACGCAACUAUGAGACUAGAGACACUGGAAAACUAAAAAAGUAACGGGCCUUUGCUGACUCAGGGAGAUGAUUUCCCAAGAGGGAAGAAAACUGGAACCUGAGAAAUAAGUGAUUUAGUAAUGUGGCUGCUAAAAUACGGAAAAACUAGAAUGAAUGGCUUACACAUUUUUGAAAUGAAGUUAGAAGAGGGUUAUACUGUGAAGAAGAAUGAAAAAGCCAAACAUUUCAUUCAGGUAAGCAUAUCACAUAGGAGAAACUCUAGGUGACUUUGGUUUGGCAGUGAGUUUUUAGAUACAACACCAAAGCACAAUCCAUAAAAGAAAAGAAAGAUAGAUAAGUUGGACUUCAUUAAAAUGAAAAACUUCUGCUCUGCAAAGACACUGUUAAGAGAAUGAAAACACAUGCCACAGACUAUGAGAAAAUAUGUGCAAAACACCUAUCUGAUAAAGGAAGUAUGUCUGAAAUACAAAGAACUCUUAAAACUCAGCAAUAAGAAAAUGAACAACCUGAUUAAAAUAUGGGCAAAAGAGCUGAAUGGAAACCUCCCCAAAGAAUAUAUGUAGAUGGCAAAUGAACAUAUGAAAAGAUUCUCAACACAAUAUGUCACUAGAAAAUUGCAAAUUAAAACAAGAUACCAGUAUACACUUAUUAGAUGAGCUAAAAUCCAAAAUACUAAGAACAGCAAAUGCUGAUGAGGUUGUGGAGCAACAGGAGCUCUCAUUCAUUGCUGGUGGGAAUGCAAAAUGAUGCAGCCACUUGGAAGACAGUCUGGCAGUUUCUUAAAGAUUAAACAAAGGCUUACCAGACACUCCAGCAAUUGCACUCUGUGUAUGUGUGUGUAUUUAUAUAUGUGUGUGUAUAUGUGUGUGUGUAUUUAUAUGUGUGUAUUUGUGUGUGUGUGUGUAUACAGGUAUCCACAGGGGAUUGGUUCCGGAAAGCUCCAUGGAUACCAAAAUCUGAGGAUGCUCAAGUUUCUUACAUAAAAUGGUGUGAGAUUUGCAUAUAAUCUAUGCACAUCCUCCUGUAUACUUUAUUUUUUAUUGUAUGUACUUAUUUUUUGAGACGGGUUCUCAGUUUGUCACCCAGGCUGGAAUGCAGUGGUGUGAUCACAGCUCACUGCAGCCUUAACCUCUGGGACUUAAGCAAUUCUCCCAGCUCAGCCUCCUGAGUAGCUGGGACCACAAGCAUGCACCACUACACGUGGCUAAUGUUAUUUUUUGUAGAAAUGGAAGUCUCACUGUGUUGCCCAGGCUAGGCUUCUGUAUACUUUAAGUCAUUUCUAGAUCACUUAUAAUACCUAAUACAAUAUAUAAAUGUUAUGUAAAUAGAUGUUAUACUGUAUUUUUAAAUUUUGUAUUUUUUUAAUUGUUCUAUUGUUAUUUUUUAUUGUUUAUUGUUUUGUUUAUUGUUGUUUAUUUUGUUUAUUGUGUUGUUUAUUGUUUUAUUGUUGUUUAUUGUUUAUUGUUUUUAUUGUUGUUUGGAAUAUUUUUGAUCCCAGUUGGUUGAAUCCAUGGAUGUGGAACCCAUAGAUAUGGCGGGCCAACUAUAUUUAUUAUUUAGAUCAAGAUAUAUUUCAAUAUAUAAAUUUAAAAAUCUUUUCUGAAAUAAAAGAAGAUUGACUCUUCUUUUCAAGUCAAAGAACAUACCAUGUGCCAGGCAAAAUUGAUUCAAACGUAUCUUCGUAAAACUAUUGGACAAGGGAUCUUCUCUUGCUACCUGAAUAAAUAGUGUGAAAAAUAUGGUUGUUGAAGAGACAAAGUAAUAGUAUCUGUCAAUUCAUUUUGAUAAACUUCAGUUUUGUAAGAGAUUAUAUAUAUUUUGUAUAUAUUUUGCAUUAUUUGUAUAUAUGCAUAUUUUAUAUUAUAUAUUUUAUAUAUGUGUGUGUGUUUAUAUGUAUGUGUGUAUAUAUAUAUUUGACUCUUUAUAUCCAUGGGUUCAUCUAAUUACCUCUGCUUCUAUUUAACAUUGUACUGGGCUGUUUUGUAGUGAUGUUCAGGGAAUACAAUCAGGACAGUGCAGUUCUGCUCUGUAGAGGAGUUUCAUGGGUGGAUGUUGAAGAGCCUCAAGUCACCUUCCCAACCCUCCUACCAAUAUAGCUUCUCCCUGACUGGUUGAGAUGAAGACUUAACCUGAAGAUUGGUUUGAUGUUACUGGUUUUCUGGUGCCCAGGUUAUAUGGUUUGGCUGUGUCCCCACCCAAAUCUCAUCUUGAAUUGUAGUUAUCAUAAUCCCCACAUGUCGUGGGAAGGACCUGGUGGGAAGUAAUUGAAUCAUGGAAGUGGUUUCUCCCAUGCUGUUCUUGUGAUAGUGAGUAAGUUCUCAUGGGAUCUUAUGGUUUUAUAAGGAGCUUCCCCCUUCACUCAGCUCUCAUUCUUCUCCUUCCUGCCACUGUGUGGAGAAGGACAUGUUUGCUUCCCCUUCUACCACGAUUGUCAGUUUCCUGAGGCCUCCCCAGCCGUGCUGAACUGUGAGUCAAUUAAGCCUUUCUCCUUUAUAAAUUACCCAGUCUCAGGUAUGUCUUUAUUAGCAGCAUAAGAACGGACUAAUGCACCAGGGCUCUCUUAGUGUUUGUUCUUCCCCAUCACACCCUUCACAUCUUUCUCUCUCUGUCCUGUCUUUCACACACACACAUACACACACACACACCCUUUAGCUCAUUACUGUAAUACUGUCGCUUCUGUCCUUCCCCAGUGUUCCUUAUUGGACAGAGGAGCUAGGGGAUAUGAGUUCACAGACCAAACUAAGAUAUCUGAGUAACACAACCACUUCAAAAUAAAAAAAUAAAAAAAAUCAUGGCCAGAUGAUGGAUAACAUCAGAAAGAGAUGCGUUAGAACAGAUGAACCAAGAGUUUAGAAUAAGCAUAAUAAAUAUAUUAAAAUAUGUAAGUGAGGAUAUUAGCAACAUGAUAAUAAUGAAAUACAUUGUAUAUGUACAAUUCCAGGUUUCAGGGUUUUACUUUUAGCACAUUAAAUAUGGCAUUCCAUUGUCUUUUGGCCUUCAUUAUUUCUGAUGAGAAGUUAGCUGAUUUUUCUACUCAUGGUUCCCUGUAUAUAGUAUAUGCUGUUUUUCUUGGUCAUUUUCCAGAUUUUCUGUUUUUUAGUAGGUUGA